GACAGAGGGUGCAAACGUUGUUCGGAAUUACUGGGCGUAAAGCGCGUGUAGGCUGCUCGGAAAGUCGGAUGUGAAAGCCCUGGGCUCAACCUAGGAAGUGCAUUCGAAACUUCCGAGCUGGAGUGCUGGAGAGGAAGGCGGAAUUCUCGGUGUAGAGGUGAAAUUCGUAGAUAUCGAGAGGAACACCUGCGGCGAAGGCGGGUUGCUGGGCCGACACUGACGCUGAUGCGCGAAAGCCAGGGGAGCGAACGGG
RNAcentral lists this ribosomal RNA (253 nucleotides) under uncultured bacterium. RNAcentral describes it as "partial 16S ribosomal RNA". It matches the Rfam family "Bacterial small subunit ribosomal RNA", at positions 524 to 776 of the family's 1533-position model. The record is from RNAcentral.